GUACGACCUCGGAUCAGGUAGGAGCACCCGCUGAACUUAAGCAUAUCAAUAAGCGGAGGA
This 60-nucleotide ribosomal RNA is filed under the name Leotia atrovirens. Its description in RNAcentral is "partial 28S ribosomal RNA". It matches the Rfam family "Eukaryotic large subunit ribosomal RNA", at positions 1 to 57 of the family's 3401-position model. Lineage: Eukaryota; Fungi; Ascomycota; Leotiomycetes; Leotiales; Leotiaceae. The record is from RNAcentral.